RNAcentral lists this ribosomal RNA (771 nucleotides) under uncultured bacterium. RNAcentral's name for it is "bacterial SSU rRNA". It matches the Rfam family "Bacterial small subunit ribosomal RNA", at positions 9 to 795 of the family's 1533-position model. The record is from RNAcentral.
GAUUUUGAUCCUGGCUCAGGACGAACGCUGGCGGUGCGCUUAAUGCAUGCAAGUCGAACGAGAACGGCGGCUUCGGUCGCUAAGUAAAGUGGCAGACGGCUGAGUAACACGUAAGUAACCAACCCCGGAGCGGGGAAUAAUCAUGAGAAAUCGUGCCUAAUACCCCGUACGUCCCAACAGGCGUUGCCGUUGGGGGAAAGGCUUCGGUCGCUCUGGGACGGGCUUGCGGCCUAUCAGGUAGUUGGUGGGGUAAAGGCCCACCAAGCCAUAGACGGGUACCCGGUGUGAGAGCACGAACGGGCAGAGGGGGACUGAGACACGGCCCCCACUCCUACGGGAGGCAGCAGCAGGGAAUCUUGCGCAAUGGGCGAAAGCCUGACGCAGCGACACCGCGUGGAGGAAGAAGGCUUUCGGGUCGUAAACUCCUUUUCUCGGGGAAGAGAACGGACGGUACCCGAGGAAUAAGCAUCGGCUAACUACGUGCCAGCAGCCGCGGUAAUACGUAGGAUGCGAGCGUUGUCCGGAUUUACUGGGCGUAAAGGGCGAGUAGGCGGCCCGCUAAGUCUCAUGUGAAAUCUCCCGGCUCAACUGGGAGGGGUCAUGAGAAACUGGCAGGCUUGAGGUCAGCAGAGGAAAGCGGAAUUCCCGGAGUAGCGGUGAUAUGCGUAGAUACCGGGAGGAACACCAGAGGCGAAGGCGGCUUUCUGGGCUGCACCUGACGCUGAGGCGCGAAAGCGUGGGGAGCGAACCGGAUUAGAUACCCUGGUAGUC